AGCAGUAGCCGCGGUAAUACGAAGGGGGCUAGCGUUGCUCGGAAUGACUGGGCGUAAAGGGCGCGUAGGCGGCGGCCAAAGUCAGGCGUGAAAUUCCCGGGCUCAACCUGGGGGCUGCGUUUGAUACUUGGUUGCUUGAGUGGGGAAGAGGGUCGUGGAAUUCCCAGUGUAGAGGUGAAAUUCGUAGAUAUUGGGAAGAACACCGGUGGCGAAGGCGGCGACCUGGUCCUUUACUGACGCUGAGGCGCGAAAGCGUGGGGAGCAAACAGGAUUAGAUACCCCUGUAGUCCCUGUCUCUUAUAC
This 303-nucleotide ribosomal RNA is filed under the name uncultured bacterium. RNAcentral describes it as "partial 16S ribosomal RNA". It matches the Rfam family "Bacterial small subunit ribosomal RNA", at positions 507 to 807 of the family's 1533-position model. The record is from RNAcentral.